RNAcentral lists this non-coding RNA (21 nucleotides) under Caenorhabditis elegans. Lineage: Eukaryota; Metazoa; Nematoda; Chromadorea; Rhabditida; Rhabditidae. The record is from RNAcentral.
UUAUUUCAUCCAUAAAUCAGA